Molecule: ribosomal RNA, 426 nt
Filed under: uncultured bacterium
Lineage: Bacteria
Description: partial 16S ribosomal RNA
Rfam family: Bacterial small subunit ribosomal RNA
Source: RNAcentral
UGGGGAAUAUUGGACAAUGGGCGAAAGCCUGAUCCAGCCAUGCCGCGUGUGUGAAGAAGGUCUUCGGAUUGUAAAGCACUUUAAGUUGGGAGGAAGGGCAUUAACCUAAUACGUUAGUGUUUUGACGUUACCGACAGAAUAAGCACCGGCUAACUCUGUGCCAGCAGCCGCGGUAAUACAGAGGGUGCAAGCGUUAAUCGGAAUUACUGGGCGUAAGCGCGCGUAGGUGGUUUGUUAAGUUGGAUGUGAAAUCCCCGGGCUCAACCUGGGAACUGCAUUCAAAACUGACUGACUAGAGUAUGGUAGAGGGUGGUGGAAUUUCCUGUGUAGCGGUGAAAUGCGUAGAUAUAGGAAGGAACACCAGUGGCGAAGGCGACCACCUGGACUAAUACUGACACUGAGGUGCGAAAGCGUGGGGAGCAAACA